This 932-nucleotide unclassified non-coding RNA is filed under the name Hevea brasiliensis (rubber tree). Lineage: Eukaryota; Viridiplantae; Streptophyta; Magnoliopsida; Malpighiales; Euphorbiaceae. The record is from RNAcentral.
GAAAUUGAAAACAAACUCUCUAACUGCCUUAACAAAACUGAUCCACAAAUUCAAGAACUCUACAAAAUUAGCAGUUUCCUAAUGGCCUCAUUGCAAUCUUUUAAAUACUAAAUCUCAUCCUCUUCAAAAUGUCCAAAAUAAAAUAAAUAAAUAAGGAGAAAACUCACUGAAUGCAGAGAGACCUUGAGUGGGAAAUCGAAAUAUAUAUCGAUUUAGACCCACAAACUAGCCCUUGAUAUAAUGGGUAUCAAUAUCAAGCACCAAUGCUCCUUCCCACUGGUCUUUCUUGCAACCGCCACCCUCCUCCUCGCCGGCCAAGCAACUGCCACAGCCACAGCAACCGUCAGUGACUUAUGUGCAGCUACAGAAUACAAACCCCUUUGCAGGGCAACCCUUAAAGGAAUUACCGAUCCAAAUGCAGCAAUAGAGGCAUCAAUCAAUCAAGUAAUCCUCAAAUCAAAACACGCAUAUUUCCGGUCAAGGACGAUGGGCAACGACGAAACUACUGAAAUCUGCAAGGAAAUGUAUGAUGAUGCCAUUACAGACCUUGAGAAUUCUUUGAAAGCCUUGAAGGCAAAGGACAAGGGCACCCUUGAUUCCAACCUUUCUGCUGCUAUUAGUUACUAUUCAUCUUGCGAUGACUCGUAUGCUGAAAUGGGCCAAGAAAGUCCUUUUAGUAAGAUUAAUAUUGUCCUCCAACACAUGGUCGACAACUGCUUGGUCUUGGCCACUCAAAUCCACUGAUUCAUUAUAAAUUUUGGAGGGUAAUUAAUUAAUUAAUUUGCUGGGUUGUGUUAAUUAGGUUAAAUUCAUAUUAAUAUGCGUUGGUUUUGUUCAAUUAUUGCAUUCCUUAGGAGGUGUUGAUUUGUAUAAUACGGGAAGUGAGUGCCUUUUCUGGCAUUUAUAUGAUAAUUAUCAAAUUUGACUCCCUG